AGAGUUUGAUCCUGGCUCAGGACGAACGCUGGCGGCGUGCCUAACACAUGCAAGUCGAACGGGACCGGGGGCAACUCCGGUUCAGUGGCGGACGGGUGCGUAACACGUGAGGAACAUUCCUUCCGGUGGGGGAUAGCCGGCCUAACGGCCGGGUAAUACCGCAUACGCUGUUCGGGGUGCAUACCCUGGAUCGGAAAGCAGCAAUGCGCCGGAAAGGUGCCUCGCGGCCUAUCAGCUAGUUGGUGAGGUAAUGGCUCACCAAGGCGACGACGGGUAGCUGGUCUGAGAGGAUGGCCAGCCACAUUGGGACUGAGACACGGCCCAGACUCCUACGGGAGGCAGCAGUGGGGAAUCUUGCGCAAUGGGCGAAAGCCUGACGCAGCGACGCCGCGUGUGGGAUGACGGCCUUCGGGUUGUAAACCACUGUCGCGAGGGACGAAGAUCUGACGGUACCUCGAAAGGAAGCACCGGCUAACUCUGUGCCAGCAGCCGCGGUAAUACAGAGGGUGCAAGCGUUGUCCGGAAUCACUGGGCGUAAAGGGCGCGUAGGCGGCCUGAUAAGUAGGAGGUGAAAUCCUGGGGCUUAACCUCAGGGCUGCCUUCUAGACUGUCCGGCUCGAGCACAGUAGAGGCAGGUGGAAUUCCCGGUGUAGCGGUGGAAUGCGUAGAGAUCGGGAAGAACAUCGGUGGCGAAGGCGGCCUGCUGGGCUGUUGCUGACGCUGAGGCGCGACAGCGUGGGGGAGCAAACAGGAUUAGAUACCCUGGUAGUC
This 771-nucleotide ribosomal RNA is filed under the name uncultured bacterium. RNAcentral describes it as "bacterial SSU rRNA". It matches the Rfam family "Bacterial small subunit ribosomal RNA", at positions 8 to 795 of the family's 1533-position model. The record is from RNAcentral.